RNAcentral lists this ribosomal RNA (253 nucleotides) under uncultured bacterium. RNAcentral's name for it is "partial 16S ribosomal RNA". It matches the Rfam family "Bacterial small subunit ribosomal RNA", at positions 524 to 776 of the family's 1533-position model. The record is from RNAcentral.
UACGAGGGGGGCAAAUGUUGUUCGGAAUCACUGGGCGUAAAGGAAGCGUAGGCGGGUGUUUAAGUUAGGAGGUUAAUCCCAGGGCCCAACCCUGGUCGUGCACUUAAAACUGGACAUCUUGAAUAGGGGAGAGGUCAGUGGAAUUGGGGGUGUAGCGGUGGAAUGCGUAGAGAUCCCCAAGAACACCAGUUGCGAAGGCGGCUGACUGGACCCUUAUUGACGCUGAGGCUCGAAAGCAUGGGGAGCAAACAGG